GAUGAACGCUGGCGGCGUGCCUAAUACAUGCAAGUCGAGCGAACAGACGAGGAGCUUGCUCCUUUGACGUUAGCGGCGGACGGGUGAGUAACACGUGGAUAACCUACCUAUAAGACUGGGAUAACUUCGGGAAACCGGAGCUAAUACCGGAUAACAUGUUGAACCGCAUGGUUCAACAGUGAAAGACGGUCUUGCUGUCACUUAUAGAUGGAUCCGCGUCGCAUUAGCUAGUUGGUAAGGUAACGGCUUACCAAGGCAACGAUGCGUAGCCGACCUGAGAGGGUGAUCGGCCACACUGGAACUGAGACACGGUCCAGACUCCUACGGGAGGCAGCAGUAGGGAAUCUUCCGCAAUGGGCGAAAGCCUGACGGAGCAACGCCGCGUGAGUGAAGAAGGUCUUCGGAUCGUAAAACUCUGUUAUUAGGGAAGAACAAAUGUGUAAGUAACUAUGCACGUCUUGACGGUACCUAAUCAGAAAGCCACGGCUAACUACGUG
This 497-nucleotide ribosomal RNA is filed under the name uncultured bacterium. RNAcentral describes it as "partial 16S ribosomal RNA". It matches the Rfam family "Bacterial small subunit ribosomal RNA", at positions 28 to 507 of the family's 1533-position model. The record is from RNAcentral.